UACGGGGGGGGCAAGCGUUGUUCGGAAUUACUGGGCGUAAAGGGCUCGUAGGUGGCCAACUAAGUCAGACGUGAAAUCCCUCGGCUUAACCGGGGAACUGCGUCUGAUACUGGAUGGCUUGAGUUUGGGAGAGGGACGCGGAAUUCCAGGUGUAGCGGUGAAAUGCGUAGAUAUCGGGAGGAAUACCAGUGGCGAAGGCGGCGACCUGGGCCAAUACUGACGCUGAGGUGCGAAAGCGUGGGGAGCAAACAGG
This 253-nucleotide ribosomal RNA is filed under the name uncultured bacterium. RNAcentral describes it as "partial 16S ribosomal RNA". It matches the Rfam family "Bacterial small subunit ribosomal RNA", at positions 524 to 776 of the family's 1533-position model. The record is from RNAcentral.